GAUGAACGCUGGCGGCGUGCCUAACACAUGCAAGUCGAGCGAACGGACGAGAAGUUUGCUUCUCUGACGAUUGCGGCGCACGGGUGUGUAACAUGUGGAUAACCCACCUAUAAGACUGGGAUAACUUCGGGAAACGGGAGCUAACACCGGAUAAUAUCUUGAACCGCAGGGUUCAAAAGUGAAAGACGGUCUUGGGGUCACUUAUAGAUGGAUCCGCGCUGCAUUAGCUAGUUGGUAAGGUAACGGCUUACCAAGGCAACGAUGCGUAGCCGACCUGAGAGGGUGAUCGGCCACACUGGAACUGAGACACGGUCCAGACUCCUACGGGAGGCAGCAGUAGGGAAUCUUCGGCAAUGGGCGAAAGCCUGACGGAGCAACGCCGCGUGUGUGAUGAAGGUCUUCGGAUCGUAAAACUCUGUUAUUGGGGAAGAACAUAUGUGUACGUAGAUGUGCAGAGCUUGACGGUACCGGAUCAAAAAGCCACGGCUAACUACGUG
RNAcentral lists this ribosomal RNA (497 nucleotides) under uncultured bacterium. RNAcentral describes it as "partial 16S ribosomal RNA". It matches the Rfam family "Bacterial small subunit ribosomal RNA", at positions 28 to 507 of the family's 1533-position model. The record is from RNAcentral.